GGUUUAAUUCGAAGCAACGCGAAGAACCUUACCAGGCCUUGACAUGCAGAGAACGUUUCCAGAGAUGGAUUGGCGCCUUCGGGAACUCUGACACAGGUGCUGCAUGGCUGUCGUCAGCUCGUGUCGUGAGAUGUUGGGUUAAGUCCCGUAACGAGCGCAACCCUUGCCUUAGUUACCAGCACGUUAUGGUGGGCACUCUAAGGAGACUGCCGGUGACAAACCGGAGGAAGUGGGGAUGACGUCAAGUCCUCAUGGCCUUUAUGACCAGGGCUACACACGUACUACAAUGGCCGAUACAAAGGGCAGCGACACUGCGAGGUGAAGCCAAUCCCGUAAAAUCGGUCUCAGUCCGGAUUGGAGUCUGCAACUCGACUCCAUGAAGUUGGAAUCGCUAGUAAUCGUGGAUCAGCAUGCCACGGUGAAUACGUUCCCGGGCCUU
This 439-nucleotide ribosomal RNA is filed under the name uncultured Desulfobulbus sp. Its description in RNAcentral is "bacterial SSU rRNA". It matches the Rfam family "Bacterial small subunit ribosomal RNA", at positions 943 to 1382 of the family's 1533-position model. Lineage: Bacteria; Pseudomonadati; Thermodesulfobacteriota; Desulfobulbia; Desulfobulbales; Desulfobulbaceae. The record is from RNAcentral.